GUGUCAGCCGCCGCGGUAAUACGAAGGGGGCUAGCGUUGUUCGGAAUUACUGGGCGUAAAGCGCGCGUAGGCGGUUUGUUAAGUCGGAUGUGAAAUCCCCGGGCUCAACCUGGGAAUUGCAUUCGAUACUGGCAAGCUAGAGUAUGGGAGAGGAAGGUAGAAUUCCAGGUGUAGCGGUGAAAUGCGUAGAGAUCUGGAGGAAUACCGAUGGCGAAGGCAGCCUUCUGGCCUAAUACUGACGCUGAGGUGCGAAAGCAUGGGGAGCAAACAGGAUUAGAUACCCUGGUAGUCCAUGCCGUAAACGAUGUCAACUAGCCGUUGGGGGAUUUGAUCCUUUAGUGGCGCAGCUAACGCGAUAAGUUGACCGCCUGGGGAGUACGGUCGCAAGACUAAA
This 394-nucleotide ribosomal RNA is filed under the name uncultured bacterium. RNAcentral describes it as "bacterial SSU rRNA". It matches the Rfam family "Bacterial small subunit ribosomal RNA", at positions 505 to 898 of the family's 1533-position model. The record is from RNAcentral.